This 468-nucleotide ribosomal RNA is filed under the name uncultured bacterium. RNAcentral's name for it is "partial 16S ribosomal RNA". It matches the Rfam family "Bacterial small subunit ribosomal RNA", at positions 28 to 507 of the family's 1533-position model. The record is from RNAcentral.
GACGAACGCUGGCGGCGUGCUUAACACAUGCAAGUCGAACGGAAAGGCCCUGCUUUUGUGGGGUGCUCGAGUGGCGAACAGGUGAGUAACACGUGAGUAACCUGCCCUUGACUUUGGGAUAACUUCAGGAAACUGGGGCUAAUACCGGAUAGGAGCUCCUGAUGCAUGGUGGGGGUUGGAAAGUUUCGGCGGUUGGGGAUGGACUCGCGGCUUAUCAGCUUGUUGGUGGGGUAGUGGCUUACCAAGGCUUUGACGGGUAGCCGGCCUGAGAGGGUGACCGGCCACAUUGGGACUGAGAUACGGCCCAGACUCCUACGGGAGGCAGCAGUGGGGAAUAUUGCACAAUGGGCGGAAGCCUGAUGCAGCAACGCCGCGUGCGGGAUGACGGCCUUCGGGUUGUAAACCGCUUUCGCCUGUGACGAAGCGUGAGUGACGGUAAUGGGUAAAGAAGCACCGGCUAACUACGUG